GAGCUCUCCCCAGCUCUACGUAUACUAAAAUUAGAAUGAUACAGAGAAGAUUUGCAUGGCCUUGCCCAUGGAUGACACCCAAACUCAAGAUGCAUUCCAUAUUGUG
Pteronotus mesoamericanus is the source of this 106-nucleotide small nuclear RNA. Lineage: Eukaryota; Metazoa; Chordata; Mammalia; Chiroptera; Mormoopidae. The record is from RefSeq and is a predicted model, not a curated record.